GCAGUGAUGAUCAUUACUGGUUUUGAUCACCAAUGAAAACAGCCAACCAAUUCCUCUAAGAAGUUCUGAGCUC
Molecule: small nucleolar RNA, 73 nt
Organism: Melanotaenia boesemani (Boeseman's rainbowfish)
Lineage: Eukaryota; Metazoa; Chordata; Actinopteri; Atheriniformes; Melanotaeniidae
Product: small nucleolar RNA SNORD61
Exons: 1
Source: RefSeq, a predicted model, not a curated record